Lathyrus oleraceus (garden pea) is the source of this 1008-nucleotide long non-coding RNA. RefSeq lists it as uncharacterized. The transcript is spliced from 2 exons. Lineage: Eukaryota; Viridiplantae; Streptophyta; Magnoliopsida; Fabales; Fabaceae. The record is from RefSeq and is a predicted model, not a curated record.
CAACUAACCAGGGUACACACCUAAGCUGUGGAAAUGCGUCUCUCCAACCUUUAAAAUAUUUGUCAGACCAUGAACAUCAUCGUUUUGCUCGUUCUCACCGUAAUCCCUGCAUCCAUCAAGAGACGGAGCCACAACGACUGUCGACGAAGCACUCCAGAUCCAACGUCGUAGCCACCACUCGAACAUGGACCGUUCCACGAACUUCUCAGUGCCUGAAGUGCUCCUUCCUUCGCAAAACUCAACCUUGACCUUCAUCCUCUCGCCUCACCAAAGUUCACAAGGCUCAAACAGAAGCUGAAUCCGACUCACCAAGAUCCAUAAUCUUCAAUGCUCGUGUAUGGAAACAAACACGAAAUAACAACACCGUUACAUCGUGAAUCUGAGAAAAAUAAAUGUAUUAAAAUCAUACGAAGGACUUACCGGAUUCAAUAUUUUCUACAACCAGCUAUCAAAGAGUUUUUCUCUUUUGUUUUGAUUGGCCUUCCUUCGAUCCAAUCUUCAAUCUUCUUUUCUUUAUGUUCUUGAUGCAGAGUGAGGUUGCUGAGUUCGACGUAGAGGAUUUCUAAGCUCGAUGUAGAAGAUUGAGCUUGUGCAGAAUGAGAUUGAGAUUGUGCAGAGAGCUAUGAAAAUCGUUUAUGUCGUAAUUCAAUGGAAGAAGAAAUAACUUGGCUUUGAAGGAAAUGGUGACAUGAAGCAUGAAGUGUACGAUUAUGAAAAUGGUGGAUGAAGAAGUUAGGACUAGGUUCUUCAAGUCUUAAGUGGUUGGAUUUUUGGUCAUGAAAAGUGUGGUUGAAUAUGGAUGUUUAGGAACUUAGAUUAGACAUUAGUUCAUGCUUGUUUGGAAUGCAUUUGUAAUUUGUAAUGUGUUUUCCAUGAAAAAUAUGUAUGAACAUGGCUUUGUAAAUGGAAAUCUUGAAAGUUUAUGGAAUUGUAUGGAAAGUUGUAUUUGAAUUUGAAAUUUGUACGACACUUGAAUAUUUGGAAAUUGGAAUGAUGAAUGUUAUUGAA